Molecule: ribosomal RNA, 477 nt
Filed under: uncultured bacterium
Lineage: Bacteria
Description: bacterial SSU rRNA
Rfam family: Bacterial small subunit ribosomal RNA
Source: RNAcentral
UUCGCAAUGCCCGAAAGGGUGACUAUGCGACGCCGCGUGUGCGAUGAAGGUCUUCGGAUUGUAAAGCACUGUCAGCUGGGAGGAAUCUCGGGGGGUCGAACAGAUCCGCCGGGUGACAGUACCAGCAGAGGAAGCCACGGCUAACUCCGUGCCAGCAGCCGCGGUAAUACGGAGGUGGCAGGCGUUACUCGGAUUGAUUGGGUGUAAAGGGUUUGUAGGCGGUGCGCUAAGUCGAAUGUGAAAUCCCUUGGCUUAACCAAGGAACUGCAUUCGAUACUGGCGUGCUUGAGUGAUGGAGAGGAAAGUGGAAUUCCCGGUGUAACAGUGAAAUGUGUAGAUAUCGGGAGGAACACCAGUGGCGAAGGCGACUUUCUGGACAUCUACUGACGCUGAAAAACGAGAGCAUAGGGGAGCAAACAGGAUUAGAUACCCUGGUAGUCCAUGCCGUAAACGAUGGGCACUAAGUAGAGGGGUUUU